UCAAACUUGGUCAUUUAGAGGAAGUAAAAGUCGUAACAAGGUUUCCGUAGGUGAACCUGCGGAAGGAUCAUUAACAAUUGUCCAUUUUCCUUUGCAUAUGGAUGGUUCAAAUCCAUAUCCACCUUCGUGUGCACAUCAUUGACAUGUUUGCUUUGGCAGUUUUUGCGAGGGGAGAUCCUUUACCGUUUCUCUCUGUGGAAGGAGAAGUGUGGGAGAGGAAGAAAGAUAGAAACUCUGUUUCUCCUUUUCGAUUUCUAACCCACCUCCCUUUUCCUUCCGGCGCUGCCAGAGUUUUCAUCUUGUUUCACGUUGACAAACUUUUGCUUCUUUUCUGGAAGCAAGGCUGAAGAAAACUUGGAUUUUUGGAAACCCAAAAAUUAAAUUGAAUACAACUUUCAACAACGGAUCUCUUGGCUCUCGCAUCGAUGAAGAACGCAGC
This 439-nucleotide unclassified non-coding RNA is filed under the name uncultured fungus. RNAcentral describes it as "partial contains small subunit ribosomal RNA, internal transcribed spacer 1, and 5.8S ribosomal RNA". The stretch from base 1 to 73 matches the Rfam family "Eukaryotic small subunit ribosomal RNA", at positions 1759 to 1831 of the family's 1831-position model. Lineage: Eukaryota; Fungi. The record is from RNAcentral.